Molecule: ribosomal RNA, 404 nt
Filed under: uncultured bacterium
Lineage: Bacteria
Description: bacterial SSU rRNA
Rfam family: Bacterial small subunit ribosomal RNA
Source: RNAcentral
UAGGGAAUAUUGCUUAAUGGGCGAAAGCCUGAAGCAGCAACGCCGCGUGUGCGAUGAAGGCCUUCGGGUUGUAAAGCACUUUUUGAGGGGAUGAGGAAGGACAGUACCCUCAGAAUAAGCCUCGGCUAACUACGUGCCAGCAGCCGCGGUAACACGUAGGAGGCGAGCGUUAUCCGGAUUUACUGGGUGUAAAGCGCGUGCAGGCGGUUCAGAAAGUUGGAUGUGAAAGCUCCUGGCUUAACUGGGAGAGGUCGUUCAAUACUUCUGGACUCGAGAAUGGGAGAGGGAGGUGGAAUUCCGGGUGUAGUGGUGAAAUGCGUAGAUAUCCGGAGGAACACCAGUGGCGAAAGCGGCCUCCUGGCCCAUUUCUGACGCUCAGACGCGAAAGCUAGGGUAGCAAACGG